Molecule: long non-coding RNA, 7734 nt
Filed under: Solanum tuberosum (potato)
Lineage: Eukaryota; Viridiplantae; Streptophyta; Magnoliopsida; Solanales; Solanaceae
Description: long non-coding RNA (STUB_LNC011074)
Source: RNAcentral
UAUAAUGAAUUGUGAAUCCAAUAACAUAAAAUGGGUUAGAAGUUCAACAACAAGCGAGGAAUCUAAAACACAUGAAACUUAAAUUUUAAAUCCGCCUCGACAAUGUAUAUACCGAAAACUUAGAAUGCCCCACCUCACGUUUUUAUGCUAUAUGCAUCUUCAUUAUUGAAAGUGAUUGAAAUGGAAUCUGUGAAAGAAUUAUUGCAGCAUUGUUCAUUUCAACAAAUAAAACAAAUAAUUGAGCAGAAAGGAUGGCAAAAAGAAAAGUUUAUAGUACUAUAAAACAUAUAUUUUUUUAUACACAAACAUAGUGGACUAAUUUAAUCUUGGGUUGGAUUAGUUUCCCAUAUGAUCACUCUACUUUUAUUUUACCACACUAAGGUCAAAAAAAUUAAUUUUACUAAUAAAAAAAAUAUUCAACUUUUUUCUUAAAUAUCACCAAAAAAAACACUAAACUAUUUUUUGUAAGAACACAACACUCUAAUAUGCCUAAGUAUCACCAAGAGUCACUAAGUAAUUCAUUCAUAACAAAAGAAAAAUCACUCAACUUGUUUAAUUAAAUAUCAUAUAAAAUAUCUCUUUAUUUUCUCCUAAUGAGUAAUUUCAGCGAUACAUAACGAAGUUAAGUGAUUUUUUUAUACUUUAAUCACCUAAUUUGAUUUUUUUUUUGUCAUGAACGACAAUUUAAUGACUUUAGUAUGAUAAUUUGAAAGUUCGGUGAUCAUACAUAAAACUAAUCUUAAUUAUGUAUCUGUGAAAGUGGUCACUAUUGCUUACAUUAAGAUAGACUAUAUUUACAUCACUCCUUAAAAUGCAACCUUUUUCGAACCCUACGUAAAACGUGAAAUACUUUGUACAUCACACUGUCUAAUUCCAACUACUAGUAGUUCUUACUUAUUUAAGACAAGUAGAAGGGGGGAGGUGAAGAGAGAGAGAGAGAGAUAGAGAGAGAGAAUGAAGUUCUUGUUCCAAUGUCCAUGUUGUUCUUGUUUUUGCUUCAUGAAGCCCCAAAAAGGUAAACCAAAAGCCAAAGAAGAACCCAAACUUAAAGCCAAAGUUGAAGAACCAAAACCUAAAGACAAGAAGGUGGAAGAAGCAAAACCAAAAGAGAAGGAAGAAAGCAAGCCACAAUGAAAGAAGAGGAAAUGGGAUAAUGCAACUAUAUAUUAUGCUCAUACAAGUAAUAUUGUUCUUCAUUUACUUAAAUUUACUUCUAGUUUGAAAUAUAUAUUGUGUGCAAUUGCAAUCUUACUCUUUUGAGAAAAGCCUCAUCCUAAAUGUAUUCUUAUUACAAAAUAUUUGCACUUUAUUCACUAUGAUAUGCAAACCUAGUCUUCAUUAUUAACUAUGUUGCUUAGAUCCUUUGAAUAUAUCAUCACACUCAUAUCAAAUUCUAAAAAAAUGUAUAACUUUUAAAGGAUUUGAUGUACAUUCAAAAGAAAUUUUGAAGGAUAUGAAAAACAUAAUGAUUGGUUAAAUUUCUCUGAAUUAAUUUCUCAAAUAUUUAUCGAACUUGGAGUUUUUUCUAUAUAAAAAAAACUAUUUUUUUGUCGGUGUAAAGUGACUCAACUUAAAAAUAUUCUCAGAAAAUAACUUGACCCAGAAAAACCACAUAAGCAAGCCAAAAUACCAUGUUUGUACAUACGAGUGAUUAUUAUUUUUAUACAAAUCAAGGCGAUAAAAGGCACGCAUUAAUAUUUAGAUAAAUUAAAUUAAUUUAUUUAUAUAAUUAAAUUAAUUUAGAUCAAUUUCAAUUAGUUUUUUUUUUUUUUUUUGGAUAUUACUCUACACUAAAUCCUAGUUCAUGCCUAUUUAAAGGUAAUAUAUUCCCUUGAAAAAGGCAGGUAUUUAGAAUAUUUUAUAAUUUUUGGGUAUUCACAAAGAGAGCAGGAAGAUAUCAAAUAUUGUCUUUCAUCAAGGAAAUCUUGAAUAUCCCAUAAACUUUGGGAAUAUUCAUAAAGAUCAUUUCAAGAUGUGGUCGAACUCUUCUUGACAAUCAAAUAAUUCAAGAAGACCCACAAAAUCCUUUCAUGGAGAUCAAAUAUUAAGAUAUGGUCGAAUUCUUCUUGACAAUCAAAUACUUCAAGAAGAUCCACCUUGCAUCGAGAUCUAAUAAAUCUCAAGGAGAUCCAAAUUAUCCUAAUUUGAGAAAUACACUAUUAAAGCCCUCGAUUCACGGAGAAAAUUCAAAUAGGAGAAUCAAGGGAACAAAUAGAGUUGUAAUCAUAUUGUUUUAUCAAUAAAACUAUGUUUCUUGAUAUUUCAUUUGCAAUUGCAAUUUAUUUCUAUCACUUUAAAAUUAGUUGCAACCAAUAAUCUUUCCAUAUAACGAACUAUCUCCUCGCAUUUUGAAUAUGAGUCUUUUUUAGCAAUCAUUUUAGUAAUUAGUACUUACAAUUAGUUUUUGUUUCAAAUUAAGAGUUAUUUUAGCAACAAAAAAGAAACUCAAAAUAAUUAUCACCAAAUAUCAAAGAUAAAAAUUAGUAUGUUUUUCUUACUAUACUUUUGUGCUUUAUCUUUUUAACGGUGCUCAAUUUUCAGAAAAUAUUUAUUAGAUAGAAAUAAUUUAGUAACUUAUAUAUUAUAUUUAUUAAUUUUUUGAUAAACAUAAUUGUUUUGAGAAUAAUAUUUUGGGACGGAGAAGGCAUUGAAGAAAACAGGAGAAUAAUCACAUUUCGAUUGUUGUGAACAACGUUGUGGACUGUGAUAAACAAACCAAUCUGAAAAAUUCAAAGCCCAAUUUUUGGUGGGUCUUCUAAAAUAAAUUUGAGUUCACCACUCAAGUCCAAAAUAAAAAAUCUCAAAAGCCCAAUUUAUGAAAUUUUUAUAUAUAUAAAGUAAUAUAAGUGAAAUAUGGGAAAGAAGAAUAUAAAAUAAAAGUAUGAUAACUAAAUGAAUAAUGCAAGAAGAUAAAUGUAUAUGUAAUAAAUAAAUUAGGCGGGAGAGCAGAUCAUGCGUUAAAUAAAGCAAAUAAUUAAUUAAAGAUAGGUGCUAGUACCAACCAUAUGAAAUAAAGGCAAUAAAAAGAUAAAUUAGUAAAGAAAAAAAUAGUGUAAAAAUUAAAAUUUGAUGUUAUUAUCAAAUCAACUUUAAAGACUACAAAGAGGAGAGCAAACUCUCACCAAAACUUCUUAUGAGAGAGAGAACGUUGUUUGAAAGAAAAAUAAUGUGUCUUAUUAUAAAAUAGAAAGGAAGGCUAUUUAUAACCAAAAAUUAUUACAAUAAGUUAUAGUAAUGCUACAAUAUUACCCACAAUAAUUUUAGUCCAUAUUUGUUAUUGUAUCAUAUGACAUCCUUGUGAUAUCGAAUUAGCUUAAAAUUUACAUCUUCUUUUAUCUUCAUACUUCGAUUUCUUCGACUCCUAUGAAUGAUUGUUAGAGAAUUCAACUUUGAUUUGUUGGAGAAUUUUUUCGAUUAUUGGAUGAAAUCUCUUUUGCUAAUCGAGCUAGCUAGUUGUGCAAUUACAAUUGAUUUGUCACAUAAGCUUUCGAUGGAUUCUAACUCUUGUACCAUUUGUAAUGACAUUGGAGAGAUAAUCUACAAACUUUUGAAAAUAUAUCCAUGAAAUAUGAUAUCUAUGUAGAUGAAUCAUUCUUGUUCACAAUUGAGAUUUGUACAUAUAUACCAAAUAAAACAACAAUAUCUAAGAUGAUAAUUUGUUGACUAUUAAGAUUAUACUAAUAUGUUAUCAUUGUUCGAAACUUAAUCUGCACAUGUUAGUUAAGUAAUAGCCUUUUAGGGUAUUUAAUUGAUCAAACUUAAUUUAUUCGAGAUGUUGAAUAUAGUUGAACUUAGUUUUCUAUCAUAUUCAAUUCGAAACUUAAAAAUCGAUUAUACAUGCCGUUGAUUGUUUGUUCUUUAUGGGACGAGUUUUAGACACGAUUAGUUGACAACUUUUUAAAUUUCAAAUUUCAUAUAAAAUAUUUAAAAUAAUGUAUAUAUAUAUAUAUAUAUAUAUAUAUUUAUAAAUACCCAUAGCACUAUUUUUUUGAUAAUAUAUGUGGAUAACUUUUCUCCAAGUAGAUAUUCUAUCCAUUUGAUUCCAAACAUACUCCAGAACAUUGCAAUUGGUACACACCUUAUUGGUCCUCACAGUUUCCCAAAUUGUUUUUCUUAUCCUACCUUCACUUUUCAUUAUUAUUGGGAUAAUGCAAAAAAAAAAAAAAAAACAUUAAAUAAGUUUACUGAGUAAAUAAUAUCAAAAAAAAUAAUUUAGAUGUGCGACUAAUAAUUUUACUAUUAUUUUGGAGUAUCUCUAUAUCUUAUCCCUUUAUUUAUUUUACUCUUCGUUUAGUUUUAUCGCUUAAUCUAAUUACACAUGAACUUCAAAAAAUGAAGAAAAUAAUUUAGGAUUUAUAAUUUUAAAUAUUUCAUGAGAUUAUUAUGAUCAUAAAAGUAUUUAAAUUAUUUUAAAUAUAAAAAUGUAAUUCUUUUUAAAAUAGAGUAAUAAGAAUAUAAUGUAAUAUAAAAUAGAUUAAUAGAAUAAGAUCUUUUGCCUUACUUAGCUUCAAAUUUUAAUUUAUAUGACAUAAUUUGAAUCAAUAAAAAAUUGAAAGUUUUAUUUAAAAUCUGUAGGUUUAAAAUAUCAACAUUUAUGUGAUGAUAAAAUAUUUCAUUAAGAGCCAGAUAAGUAUAAAGUUAAUAGAAUUCCUUAAUAUUGUUAACACAAAAUAUUUUCUUUAUUUUAACACAAAUUUAAUUAUUUGCCCUAUUUCAAUUUAUGUGAGCAUUUUUUUUUUUGGAAAAUUGUAUAUAAUAGCAAAUUAUUAAUUCAAAUUAAAUGCUAUAAAUAUACUUUGAUUUAAUUGUACCCUAUAGCAAACUAUUGCUAUUUUCGCCACUCUCGUUUGGUGGCAGUCUCGCUCGCCUCUCUCGCUUUUAUACAAACACAAAUGUAUAAAAUGUGUUUGUGUUUGUAUAAAGUGAGAGGAAAUUGUAUAUAUACAUAUAUUUUCUCUCCCCUCUCCCAGAUCUCGCUCGCCACUCUCCCAAAUCUCGCUCGCCACCCUCGCCUCUCUUGCUUAUACAAACAGAAACGAAACAUAUAAAUUGCACUUCUGUUUGUAUAAAGCAAGAGAAAAUUGUACAUACACAUGCAAAUACAUAUAUAUUCGUCCUAUACACUUAUAAUUAUACAAUACAAAUAUUUCUCUGCCCAGUUUUCGUUUGCCUUUCUCUCUUUCUCGUUUUAUACAUACACAGAUUAUACAAUUGAUCUUUUGUAUAUAAUUGCUUUCUUUUGUAUAUGUAUAGCGAAUUAUACAACUGCCUUCUUUGUAUAUGUAUAGCAAAUUAUACAACUGUUUUUUUUGUAUAUGUAUAGUGAAUUAUACAUAUAUAUGUUUGCUAUAGAGCGCAAUUAUGCAAACUUUGCUAUAGCAUACAAAUAUGAAUUUUGUGUUUGCUAUAUGUGAAAGUUGCUCUUUUUUUUUUUUUUUACUUUAUCACAAAAAAAUAAAAUAACUUAUACUUAAUAUUUUACUAUCCUAAUUUACAUCACACACACUUUUUUUUAAUUUAUCCAAAAUAAUGACACAUUACUAUAAUCGAAAAUAAUUUUGUUUUGAGAUUUGUUUUGAACCAUAAAUUUCAGCCACCUCGUUCAUCCUUUUUAUAUAAAAAAAAUUGUAUCACUUAAAUAGUAUCACAUAAAUUGAAAUCGGAAAAAGUAACAAUUUAAUUUUAAAUUCUCAUUUAAUCCUUUUCUAGACAUAAUAAUUUCUACGACUUGUGUGAAUUAUGAAACAUACAAAUGUAAAGUAGUACUUUUUUUUUUCUUCAAAGUUGUGGUCAAUCAAACAUGUAAAUUAAAACGAAGAAAAUAAUAUUUUGGAGCAGAUAUUUUUUCCUCAUUACAACGGUAACCUUUAUCUAAAGUAGUGCACAACUGCACACAAAGUCUAUAUAAACUUUGUUGUCUCCCUUUUAACCUUUCUAUUCUUUCCACUUUUUGUUUUUCUAGACUUCUCGUGAAGAACUAUUUCCUUUUUCUUUUUUUUUCUAUUUCUCGUGACUCUUUUUUAGUGUAUACUUUUAUCACCACACAAAAAAAGAGUCAUAUUGAACCCCAUUUUGAAACAAAGAGAAGAAAAACAUUGUCCAUGGCUCAGCAAAGACAUGUUGUAGUGUUACUUGUGUUGGCUUGUUUGUUUACAUCUUCAUAUUCUUCUCAAUAUACUGUUGGUGGCAAAGAUGGUUGGGUCCUUAACCCUUCUGUUGAUUACAACACUUGGUCUCAACAUAUGAGAUUCAUAAUCAAUGACUCUGUUUGUAAGUCUUCUCCUUCCUCUCAAAAGUCAAAAUACUGUUAUUUUUUAAGAGUCCGAGCAAUAAUAUUUGAUGAUAUUUGUUAUUUUUUGUGUUUAUAGUGUUUAAGUAUAAGCAAGGAGCAGAUUCUGUGUUGGAGGUGAGUAAGGAUGAUUAUGAUAAGUGUAACACUGGCAAUCCAAUUAAGAAAAUGGAGGAUGGAAACUCCAUUUUCACGUUGGAUCGUUCUGGUCCUUUUUACUUUAUCAGUGGCAACAAAGAUAACUGUGAUAAAGGCCAAAAGUUGCAAAUUAUUGUUAUCUCUGUUAGGAACCAAGGUAAACCACCACAAACUCCGGCACCGGGAGUUGCUCCACCUAGUAAUGGAUCAACUACACCGUCACCUACGGGUUCACCACCAUCUACUGGAGGUACGCGGAAUCAGAAUUUUAAUUUUAUCCGUUCAAUUUUUUAGAUUCUUAGUAUGUUACAUGAGUCGAUUGAACUUACGAGAUUAAUGCAGGCUCCUCUCCGGCAGCUUCUCCGCCUAAAGGAUCGUCUACACCUGGUACACCGUCACCCACGGGUUCACCACCAUCUACUGGAGGUACGCCGGAUCAGAAUUUUAAUUUUAUUCGUUCAAUUUUUCAGAUUCUUAGUAUGUUACAUGAGUCGAUUGAACUUACGAGAUUAAUGCAGGCUCCUCUCCGGCAGCUUCUCCGCCUAAAGGAUCGUCUACACCUGGUACACCGUCACCCACGGGUUCACCACCAUCUACUGGAGGUACGCCGGAUCAGAAUUUUAAUUUUAUUCGUUCAAUUUUUCAGAUUCUUAGUAUGUUACAUGAGUCGAUUGAACUUACGAGAUUAAUGCAGGCUCCUCUCCGGCAGCUUCUCCGCCUAAAGGAUCGUCUACACCUGGUACACCGUCACCCACGGGUUCACCACCAUCUACUGGAGGUACGCCGGAUCAGAAUUUUAAUUUUAUUCGUUCAAUUUUUCAGAUUCUUAGUAUGUUACAUGAGUCGAUUGAACUUACGAGAUUAAUGCAGGCUCCUCUCCGGCAGCUUCUCCGCCUAAAGGAUCGUCUACACCUGGUACACCGUCGGCACCUUCAGCUAAUGCUCCGGCAGGAUCAUCUACACCGGGUGCGUCGUCACCUAAUGGGGCACCAGUAUCUACUCCUGCAGGUAAAUUAUAAAUGAAUUUGGAAUUUCAAUUUGACAGAUUCCAUGUUUUGAUUUCGUUCGAUUUUUAACGUAUUGCACUUUUGAAAUAGUGAAUUGAAUCAUAUAGUUUAUCUGUUUGUUCAGGUAAAUCACCAACCUCAUCACCAACACCUUCCGGUUCAACCGCAUCUCCACCAGCUCCUGCGACCGGAGGAUCCGUAGCUCCGGCAAUGUCUCCGGUAGCUAAUGGACCGUCAACUAGUACUCCAGGUUCUUCUUCACCGGUGGCAGGCGGACCAUCGUCUGGAAGCAGUAUGGCA